GGCGUCAUAGCUCAGUUGGGAGAGCAGCAGACUGAAGUCGUAUCACCGUUGAUUGAACCCACACGUGCUUAUGUAAUCUGAAGGUCCCGUGUUCAAGCCACGGUGAUGCCA
Mycena capillaripes is the source of this 111-nucleotide non-coding RNA. The record is from the annotation of a GenBank genome assembly. NCBI's taxonomy places the organism in Eukaryota, Fungi, Basidiomycota, Agaricomycetes, Agaricales, Mycenaceae.